RNAcentral lists this ribosomal RNA (422 nucleotides) under uncultured bacterium. RNAcentral's name for it is "bacterial SSU rRNA". It matches the Rfam family "Bacterial small subunit ribosomal RNA", at positions 355 to 774 of the family's 1533-position model. The record is from RNAcentral.
UAAGGAAUAUUGGACAAUGGUCGCAAGACUGAUCCAGCCAUGCCGCGUGCAGGAAGACGGCCCUAUGGGUUGUAAACUGCUUUUGUACCAGAGAAAACCUAUCUACGUGUAGAUAGCUGAUAGUAUGGUAAGAAUAAGCAUCGGCUAACUUCGUGCCAGCAGCCGCGGUAAGACGAAGGAUGCAAGCGUUAUCAGGAUUCAUUGGGUUUAAAGGGUGCGUAGGCGGGCUUGUAAGUCAGUGGUGAAAUCUCUCAGCUUAACUGAGAAACUGCCAUUGAUACUGCAGGCCUAGAGUAUAGAUGACGUUGGCGGAAUAUGACAUGUAGUGGUGAACUACUUAGAUAUGUCAUAGAACACCGAUUGCGAAGGCAGCUAACGAAACUAUAACUGACGCUGAGGCACGAAAGUGCGGGGAUCAAACA